GACAAACAUCACUGAAGUUCUGUAAACUGCCAUAUAACUUACAUGUGUGUCACACAAUGUAUACCAAACAUGUGCAGAAACAAAAUUAAGUGCUAUUUUAAUUAUUCACCUUUUGGGAUGUGAAAACAUAUGUAAACAUAAUUGCACAGUUUUUGCUGAAAAUGAACAAAAGACAGCCUCUACCUAAGGAUUUGUUCUUGCUAUUGGCUGGGCAGCAUGUAGUACAAUCUUCUUACCUAUUUAUAUCAGA
This 250-nucleotide long non-coding RNA is filed under the name Bos taurus (domestic cattle). RNAcentral describes it as "long non-coding RNA NONBTAT025262". Lineage: Eukaryota; Metazoa; Chordata; Mammalia; Artiodactyla; Bovidae. The record is from RNAcentral.